CAGAGAUGGCUUAGUGCUCGAAAGAGAGCCGUAACACAGGUGCUGCAUGGCUGUCGUCAGCUCGUGUCGUGAGAUGUUGGGUUAAGUCCCGCAACGAGCGCAACCCUUGUCAUUAGUUGCUACGAAAGGGCACUCUAAUGAGACUGCCGGUGACAAACCGGAGGAAGGUGGGGAUGACGUCAAGUCCUCAUGGCCCUUAUAGGUGGGGCUACACACGUCAUACAAUGGCCGGUACAAAGGGUCGCAAACCCGCGAGGGGGAGCUAAUCCAUCAAAGCCGGUCGUAGUCCGGAUCGCAGUCUGCAACUCGACUGCGUGAAGUCGGAAUCGCUAGUAAUCGUGGAUCAGCAUGUCACGGUGAAUACGUUCCCGGGUCUUGUACACACCGCCCGUCACACCAUGGGAGCGGGUCUCGCCAGAAGUAGUUAGCCUAACCGCAAGGAGGGCGAUUACCACGGCGGGGUUCGUGACUGGGGUGAAGUCGUAACAAGGUAGCCGUA
RNAcentral lists this ribosomal RNA (499 nucleotides) under uncultured bacterium. Its description in RNAcentral is "bacterial SSU rRNA". It matches the Rfam family "Bacterial small subunit ribosomal RNA", at positions 1001 to 1504 of the family's 1533-position model. The record is from RNAcentral.